Oryza sativa Japonica Group (Japanese rice) is the source of this 205-nucleotide microRNA precursor. It matches the Rfam family "MIR812 microRNA precursor family". NCBI's taxonomy places the organism in Eukaryota, Viridiplantae, Streptophyta, Magnoliopsida, Poales, Poaceae. The record is from Rfam.
CAAAGGCUUCAUUUUUGGGUCAUGUGUCCAACAUUUGACCGUCCAUCUUAUUUGAAAAAUUUAUAAAAAAACAAAUUUAAAAGUAGUCACGCAUAAAAUAUUCAUAAUUUAUCAUCUAAUAAAAAUAAAAAUAUAAAUUAUAGAAACUUUUUGAAUAAGAUGAAGAGUCAAACGUUGCAUCCAAAAACUGAAAAAUGGAGUCUUU